This 123-nucleotide ribosomal RNA is filed under the name Fusarium sp. RNAcentral describes it as "partial large subunit ribosomal RNA". The record is from RNAcentral. Lineage: Eukaryota; Fungi; Ascomycota; Sordariomycetes; Hypocreales; Nectriaceae.
CGGCAACAGCUCAAAUUUGAAAUCUGGCUCUCGGGCCCGAGUUGUAAUUUGUAGAGGAUACUUUUGAUGCGGUGCCUUCCGAGUUCCCUGGAACGGGACGCCAUAGAGGGUGAGAGCCCCGUC